CCUACGGGAGGCUGCAGUGAGGAAUAUUGGUCAAUGGGCGCGAGCCUGAACCAGCCAAGUCGCGUGAGGGAUGACGGCCCUACGGGUUGUAAACCUCUUUUGCCGGGGAGCAACGGGCGCCACGUGUGGCGCCACUGAGAGUACCUGGAGAAAAAGCAUCGGCUAACUCCGUCCCAGCAGCCGCGGUAAUAAGGAGGAUGGGAGCGUUAUCCGGAUUGAUUGGGUUUAAGGGGUGCGUGGGGGGAGGUUAAAGCCAGUGGGCAAAUUUUGGGCCUCAACCCCUUCCCGCCAUUGAAACUGGCGCUCUUGAGUGGAAGAGAGGUAUGCGGAAUGCGUGGUGUAGCGGUGAAAUGCAUAGAUAUCACGCAGAACCCCGAUGGCGAAGGCAGCAUGCCGGCUUCCUACUGACGCUGAAGCACGAAAGCGUGGGGAUCGAACAGGAUUAGAUACCCGAGUAGUC
This 460-nucleotide ribosomal RNA is filed under the name uncultured bacterium. Its description in RNAcentral is "partial 16S ribosomal RNA". It matches the Rfam family "Bacterial small subunit ribosomal RNA", at positions 338 to 795 of the family's 1533-position model. The record is from RNAcentral.